UGGGGAAUAUUGCACAAUGGGCGCAAGCCUGAUGCAGCCAUGCCGCGUGUAUGAAGAAGGCCUUCGGGUUGUAAAGUACUUUCAGCGGGGAGGAAGGGAGUAAAGUUAAUACCUUUGCUCAUUGACGUUACCCGCAGAAGAAGCACCGGCUAACUCCGUGCCAGCAGCCGCGGUAAUACGGAGGGUGCAAGCGUUAAUCGGAAUUACUGGGCGUAAAGCGCACGCAGGCGGUUUGGUAAGGCAGAUGUGAACUCCCCGGGCUCAACCUGGGAACUGCAUCUGAUACUGGCAAGCUUGAGUCUCGUAGAGGGGGGUAGAAUUCCAGGUGUAGCGGUGAAAUGCGUAGAGAUCUGGAGGAAUACCGGUGGCGAAGGCGGCCCCCUGGACGAAGACUGACGCUCAGGUGCGAAAGCGUGGGGAGCAAACA
Molecule: ribosomal RNA, 427 nt
Filed under: uncultured bacterium
Lineage: Bacteria
Description: partial 16S ribosomal RNA
Rfam family: Bacterial small subunit ribosomal RNA
Source: RNAcentral